UACCGAUACAGAGUCAAUGUGGAGGCUAUAUACAGGGGGUACAGGGAACAGAGUCAAUGUGGAGACUAUAUACAGGGGGUACCGGUACAGAGUCAAUGUGGAGGCUAUAUACAGGGGGUACCGGUACAGAGUCAAUGUGGAGGCUAUAUACAGGGGGUACAGGGAACAGAGUCAAUGUGGAGGCUAUAUACAGGGGGUACCGGGAACAGAGUCAAUGUGGAGGCUAUAUACAGGGGGUACAGGGAACAGAGUCAAUGUGGAGGCUAUAUACAGGGGGUACCAGUACAGAGUCAAUGUGGAGGCUAUAUACAGGGGGUACAGGGAACAGAGUCAAUGUGGAGGCUAUAUACAGGGGGUACAGGGAACAGAGUCAAUGUGGAGGCUAUAUACAGGGGGUACAGGGAACAGAGUCAAUGUGGAGGCUAUAUACAGGGGGUACAGGGAACAGAGUCAAUGUGGAGGCUAUAUACAGGGGGUACAGGGAACAGAGUCAAUGUGGAGGCUAUAUACAGGGGUACAGGGAACAGAGUCAAUGUGGAGGCUAUAUACAGGGGGUACAGGGAACAGAGUCAAUGUGGAGGCUAUAUACAGGGGGUACCAGUACAGAGUCAAUGUGGAGGCUAUAUACAGGGGGUACAGGGAACAGAGUCAAUGUGGAGGCUAUAUACAGGGGGUACCGAUACAGAGUCAAUGUGGAGGCUAUAUACAGGGGGUACAGGGAACAGAGUCAAUGUGGAGACUAUAUACAGGGGGUACAGGGAACAGAGUCAAUGUGCGGGGCACCAGUUAGUCGAGGUAAUUGAGGUAAUAUGUAUACAUGUAGGUAGAGUUAAAGUGACUAUGCAUAGAUAAUAACCAGAGAGUAGCAGCAGUGUAAAAGGGGGGGGGGGACAAUGCAAUCUGGGUAGCCAUUUGAUAAGCUGUUCAGGAGUCUUAUGGCUUGGGGGUAGAAGCUGUUAAGAAGCCUUUAAGAGGUCCUGGAUGGCAGGAAGCUUGGCCCCAGUGAUGUACUGGGCCGUAUACACUACCCUCUGUAUGUAGUGCCUUGCAUUCAGAGGACGAGCACUUGCCAUACCAGGCAGUGAUGCAACCAGUCAGGAUGCUCUCGAUGGUGCAGCUGUAGAACUUUUCAGUCUCCUGAGGGGGAAUCUGAGUUUUCGUGCCCAUCUUUAUCAGGAUAAGGUAAGACCCAGAUGCAGACCGUGAUGAAGUAACAAUGUUUAUUACAGCAACAGGGGCAAAGGUACAAGACGGAAGGCUCAGGGUAAGGCAGAGGUCGGUAAUCCAGAGGUGGUGCAAUGGUACAGGACGGCAGGCUGGCUCAGGAUCAGUGGCAGGCAGAGUGGUGCGGGGGGCAGGCUCAGGGUCAGUGGCAGGCAGAGUGGUGCGAGGGGCUGGCUCAGGGUCAGGACAGGCAGAGUGGUGCGGAGGGCAGGCUCAGGGUCAGUGGCAGGCAGAGUGUUGCGGAGUGCAGGCUCAGGGUCAGUGGCAGGCAGAGUGGUGCGGAGGGCAGGCUCAGGGUCAGGACAGGCAAGUGUCAAAACCAGGAGGAUGAGAAAAGAGAGACUGGGGGAAAGCAUGAGCUGAUACAAAACCGCUGGUUGAAAAAACAGGUAUGACACAAGGGAUAAUGGGGAAGAUGGGCGACACGUGGAGGGUGGAGACAAGCACAAAGACAGGUGAAACAGAUCAGGGACAGUACACCCCCCUCUCUACACCACCUGGUGUCCUACCUGGUUGAGCCGGCGCUGGAACUCAGAGAUAAGGCCUGGUUCCAGGAUGUCCCUGGAGGAGACCCAGUUUUAAGGCUGUCGGUAACUGGUGAAAGGAGUCAGGCGCAGGAGAGCUGAGAUGUGUGGAUAAGGUAUUUAAUUCAAGAAAAAACACCAGUACAAACACAAUACUAAGGUGCAGGAAAAAUACCGGUACCACGAAACAAACAGGCGUCACAACAAAACCCGGCAACAAUAAUACCAGCCGUCAGGUAAAGACUUACAAUAAAACAAAACAUAGGGGAAACCAGAGGGUUAAAUAAUUAAUGAACUUCGGCGGAUGUCGUGACAGUAUCUCCCCUUGACGCGCGACUCUAGCAGCACCGAACCCGGCCUCGGGGACGACCCAGAGGACGAGGCGCAGGGCGAUCCGGAUGGAAACGGUGGAAAUCUCGUAGCAUCGAAGGGUCCAAUAUGUCCUCCACCGGCACCCAGCAUCUCUCCUCCAGACCGUACCCAUUCAACUCCACGAGGUACUGAAGGCCCCUUGCCCAAUGCCUCGAGUCCAGUAUGGAUCGGACUGCAUACGCCGGGGCCCCCUCGAUGUCCAGAGGGUGCGGAGGAACCUCCCGCACCUCAGACUCCUGGAGAAGACCAGCUACCACCAGCCUGAGGAGAGAACGAGGCGGUAAUACUCCUGGAGAGGACCAGCUACCACCAGCCUGAGGAGAGAACGAGGCG
This is a long non-coding RNA of Oncorhynchus tshawytscha (Chinook salmon), 2453 nucleotides long. Lineage: Eukaryota; Metazoa; Chordata; Actinopteri; Salmoniformes; Salmonidae. The record is from Ensembl.